Molecule: unclassified non-coding RNA, 187 nt
Filed under: Lipomyces lipofer
Lineage: Eukaryota; Fungi; Ascomycota; Lipomycetes; Lipomycetales; Lipomycetaceae
Description: partial internal transcribed spacer 2
Source: RNAcentral
AUAUACUCAAAACUUUAUUGUUUUUGGUUAUGGGCAUCUAUUCUUGAUUGAAUUUGCCUGAAAUACAACGGUAGAGUGGUCACUGGGAAGACAGGUUUAACCAAUGCUAUUAAAUUUAUCGUUGGGCAGGUCUGUUCUUUUAGGUGACUAUGCUUCCUUAACGUCCUUGCGGACAACAUUUCUUAAA